UACGUAGGCAGCGAGCGUUGUUCGGAAUUAUUGGGCGUAAAGAGCGCGCAGGCGGAUAGGCAAGUCAGAUGUGAAAUCUCGGGGCUCAACUCCGAACGUGCGUCUGAAACUAUCUAUCUAGAAUCUCGGAGAGGAAAGGGGAAUUUCGCAUGUAGGGGUAAAAUCCGUAGAGAUGCGAAGGAACACCGGAGGCGAAGGCGCCUUUCUGGACGAGUAUUGACGCUGAGGCGCGAAAGCGUGGGGAACAAACAGG
This 253-nucleotide ribosomal RNA is filed under the name uncultured bacterium. Its description in RNAcentral is "partial 16S ribosomal RNA". It matches the Rfam family "Bacterial small subunit ribosomal RNA", at positions 524 to 776 of the family's 1533-position model. The record is from RNAcentral.